This 665-nucleotide ribosomal RNA is filed under the name uncultured bacterium. RNAcentral describes it as "bacterial SSU rRNA". It matches the Rfam family "Bacterial small subunit ribosomal RNA", at positions 8 to 692 of the family's 1533-position model. The record is from RNAcentral.
AGAGUUUGAUCCUGGCUCAGGAUGAACGUUGGCGGCGUGCCUAACACAUGCAAGUCGAACGGGAAGCACCCUUCGGGGUGUGGAGAGUGGCGCACGGGUGAGUAACACGUAGCUCAUCUACCCCAGAGGACGGGAUAACCCUCGGAAACGAGGGCUAAUACCGUAUAAGCUCACGGGCAGUAACAAACCGUGAGAAAAGCUGAGGCGCUCUGGGAUGAGGCUGCGGUCCAUCAGCUAGUUGGUGAGGUAACGGCUCACCAAGGCGACGACGGAUAGGGGACCUGAGAGGGUGACCCCCCACACUGGGACUGAGACACGGCCCAGACUCCUACGGGAGGCAGCAGUGAGGAAUAUUGCACAAUGGGCGCAAGCCUGAUGCAGCGACGCCGCGUGGGUGAUGAAGGUCUUCGGAUCGUAAAGCCCUUUUCUGUGUGACGAGCAAGGACGGUAGCACAGGAAUAAGUGUCGGCUAACUACGUGCCAGCAGCCGCGGUAAAACGUAGGACGCAAACGUUAUCCGGAGUUACUGGGCGUAAAGCGCGCGCAGGCGGAGCGUUAAGUUGUUUAUGAAAGCUCCUGGCUAAACUGGGAGAGGUUAGACAAAACUGGCGCUCUAGAGUGAAGCAGAGGAAGGCAGAAUUCCGCGUGUAGUGGUGAAAUGCGUA